AGAUUGAACGCUGGCGGCAUGCCUUACACAUGCAAGUCGAACGGUAGAGUAGCAAUACUUGAGAGUGGCGAACGGGUGAGUAAUAUAUCGGAACGUGCCCAGUCGUGGGGGAUAACGUAGAGAAAUUUACGCUAAUACCGCAUACGAUCUAAGGAUGAAAGCGGGGGACCUAAGGCCUCGCGCGAUUGGAGCGGCUGAUAUCAGAUUAGGUUGUUGGGUGAGGUAAAAGCUCACCAAGCCGACGAUCUGUAGCUGGUUUGAGAGAACGACCAGCCACACUGGGACUGAGACACGGCCCAGACUCCGUACGGGAGCAGCAGUGGGGAAUUUGGACAAGUGGGCGAAAG
Molecule: ribosomal RNA, 347 nt
Filed under: uncultured soil bacterium
Lineage: Bacteria
Description: bacterial SSU rRNA
Rfam family: Bacterial small subunit ribosomal RNA
Source: RNAcentral